UUUAUAUUUUAGAAUCUGAUAUAAGUUUUUUAUAUUAUUCAGUAGAAGAAGAAUUGGUCAUAGCUUUCUUGGUAGUGAUGGCUCGAGCUUCAAAUAAUUAAGGUGAAAAACUAUUAUUUUUAUUCACUGUAGAGUAUAAAGCUAUGGUAUCUUAUGGGGCCUGGAUAUGUAUUCCCUUGCAAAUUUUUCCUUUUCCCCCCACAAAGAUUUCACCAUGUUUCCUUGUUUUCCCAACUUUAUGGUCCCUUGUUUUUUUAUCAUUUUUUUUCUUUGAAUUCUGAUUGCAAAAUAUGCAUUGUUCUCUGGUUUCCUAAAACCAGCCCUGGGAGACCCUCAGUACAGUCUCACAAUUAUUUGGUGUUAAGAAUUUUAGGACCCAAAGGC
Paramuricea clavata is the source of this 384-nucleotide non-coding RNA. Lineage: Eukaryota; Metazoa; Cnidaria; Anthozoa; Malacalcyonacea; Plexauridae. The record is from the annotation of a GenBank genome assembly.